CCAAUUUAACAUCAAACUCAGAUGUUGAGCGUGAAGGAUAACGUUGCGUCAGCAACGGCCCGAAGGGCGAGGCGAAGCCGAGUCAUCCUGCACGACCCACCA
RNAcentral lists this small RNA (102 nucleotides) under Salmonella enterica. Its description in RNAcentral is "partial RtT sRNA". It matches the Rfam family "RtT RNA", at positions 44 to 130 of the family's 130-position model. From Rfam's summary of the family: This family represents a bacterial cis-regulatory element known as RtT RNA. The exact function of RtT is unknown although it is thought that it may be involved in changing the cellular response in relation to amino acid starvation. Lineage: Bacteria; Pseudomonadati; Pseudomonadota; Gammaproteobacteria; Enterobacterales; Enterobacteriaceae. RNAcentral also lists the same sequence under 1 other name. The record is from RNAcentral.